RNAcentral lists this ribosomal RNA (252 nucleotides) under uncultured soil bacterium. Its description in RNAcentral is "partial 16S ribosomal RNA". It matches the Rfam family "Bacterial small subunit ribosomal RNA", at positions 26 to 280 of the family's 1533-position model. The record is from RNAcentral.
AGAUUGAACGCUGGCGGCAGGCCUAACACAUGCAAGUCGAGCGGCAGCACGGGUACUUGUACCUGGUGGCGAGCGGCGGACGGGUGAGUAAUGCCUAGGAAUCUGCCUGAUAGUGGGGGAUAACGUUCGGAAACGGACGCUAAUACCGCAUACGUCCUACGGGAGAAAGUGGGGGAUCUUCGGACCUCACGCUAUCAGAUGAGCCUAGGUCGGAUUAGCUAGUUGGUAGGUAAGGCCUACCAAGGCUACGAU